AGGCAUGUGCACGCCUUUCUCUUUCAUCCACACACCCCUGUGCACCUGUGAGACGGAGGCCUGUCAUUCUCUUUCAGUAUGGGAUCGAGUUUCCGUCUGCUGUUAUACAAAAUCAAUUUAUUUUAAUUUGAAUGUAAUUGACGUGAACGCGUCUUAUAUACUAAGUUUCAACAACGGAUCUCUUGGCUCUCGCAUCGAUGAAGAACGCAGCGAAAUGCGAUAAGUAAUGUGAAUUGCAGAAUUCAGUGAAUCAUCGAAUCUUUGAACGCACCUUGCGCUCCUCGGUAUUCCUUGGAGCAUGCCUGUUUGAGUAUCAUGAAAUUCUCAAAGAAAAUCUUUCGUCGACUCGGCGGACUUUGCUUUGGACUUGGAGGUCUGCAGACUUCACGGUCUGCUCCUCUCAAACGAAUCAGCUGGAUCUCGGUGAGCUUGGUUCCACUCGGCGUGAUAAGUAUCACUCGCUGAGGACACCCGUAAAAACGG
RNAcentral lists this ribosomal RNA (483 nucleotides) under uncultured Ceratobasidiaceae. RNAcentral's name for it is "eukaryotic LSU rRNA". The stretch from base 163 to 316 matches the Rfam family "5.8S ribosomal RNA". The record is from RNAcentral. Lineage: Eukaryota; Fungi; Basidiomycota; Agaricomycetes; Cantharellales; Ceratobasidiaceae.